CCAAGACGUACCUGGAGCGCCGCCGUGCACGCCGACGACCUCCGCUUCACCCCGCCGUCGUCUCCAUCCUCCCGAACCUCUCCCUGAACGUGCUGGUCGUGUGUGCUGCCAGAGCCUCAACAACGUCAUCUUGGUCGGGCUUCGUCUGGUUUCCUUCGAAGGGCCGAGCCCCUCUCUUCAUUCAUCAAUUGAUCUAACGGUUUGCCUGUUACAUCUACACACCGAAGACGCCGGUACCGAGGAGUACGGCGAGGAGUACGACUACUACCCUGAGGAGGAUCGUGCCGGUUUCUCUUCUUCUGACUUGACAGGCGAGCACUUUUCCCUGCUACCUAUUUUCUGCUUUUGCCUCUUUACCUUACUGCUAUCCUCGUGUGCCGUUCUUGUCACGUAACCUAUCGCCUGUCACCUAUUGCAAGCCAUAGACCCAUACAUAUAUCCUACAGCUGUUGUUUGGUUACAGGGUCAGCCAUGCGAGUCGUAGGCUUGCUUAGUACCGUUGUUAUAUAUUGCUACUAUUAUCACUGUCGUCAUCGUUAUCUAGUUGGGUUAUAUUUGUUGGGGGGUUCCGAGAUACAUGCUUAUGAUUGUAUCUGUUCGAUAAGUUCACACUUCUUAUUCAUGCUAAUAAUAAAAUUGUUAAGUAGAGGCAUCGGUGGGUCAGCUGAUUUUCUUUUUGAACACGGCUCACUUGUGUCCACUAAUAUCUAGGAUCUUGAGUUCUUGUUAUCUGAUCCAAGACUGAGCGCACUAACCAUACGUGGGGUUCAGUGGGCCCUCCUCGACCAAUUCCGGAACUACUUCCAUUGUCCAAGUGCCGCAAUUAGUUUCUGGUGUGUUUACUCUUUUAUCGCGUGCAUGCCAGCCUGUUACUUCUUUAUUUUGGGGAAGCCCAGUGAGCCUUGUAUCCCUUGUUUCUGGUAUGCACGUAUAGGUUUGCGGCCUGAGCGUUUAUCGCAUGCUGAAGAGGGUCAUUCGCCCCUGUGUGUGUUUUGACCCUCGGAAGCCGUGCACGCAAUAGCUAGGUCCGCUUCGGAGACUCGGCCGAACUCCGUAACGGGUUUAACUUAGUUAGGUGGCUCUUGGACUUGGUCUGUGGUGAAGGGAGGUAGUGUCGUGAUACUCUGCUUUGAUCCAGUAGGGUUGAUCGAGCGUAUGAGACCAGUAGUGCACCCCUGCAGGGUUACAAUCUUUUCGAAAAGCCGUGUCCGCGGUUAUGGACGACUUGGAGAAGUGUCGCUUGAUCAUAGACAACUUUCACCCUUUAUCUGCUAAUUAACUUGUGUAGUAAUUAGCAGAACUAUAAUAAAAACUGGUUAAAACUGUAAACCGUGUGAGUGCCUUUGCAUCUUCUUCCUGUAGCAUGUAGAAGGGGGAAUGCAUCGGAUGAGUUAUGUUUGCAGAGUUUUAGAACUGU
This is a long non-coding RNA of Lolium rigidum, 1417 nucleotides long. RefSeq lists it as uncharacterized. The record is from RefSeq and is a predicted model, not a curated record. The transcript is spliced from 3 exons. NCBI's taxonomy places the organism in Eukaryota, Viridiplantae, Streptophyta, Magnoliopsida, Poales, Poaceae.